RNAcentral lists this ribosomal RNA (262 nucleotides) under uncultured bacterium. RNAcentral's name for it is "partial 16S ribosomal RNA". It matches the Rfam family "Bacterial small subunit ribosomal RNA", at positions 793 to 1055 of the family's 1533-position model. The record is from RNAcentral.
GUCCGCGCAGUAAACGAUGUCGACUGGGCGUGGGGGGGCUCGACCCCUUCCGCGCCGGAGCUAACGCGGGAAGUCGACCGCCUGGGGAGUACGGCCGCAAGGCUAAAACUCAAAGGAAUUGACGGGGGCCCGCACAAGCAGCGGAGCGUGCGGUUUAAUUCGACGCAACGCGCAGAACCUUACCAGGUCUGGACACCCCCCUGCAAGCCCUGGAAACAGGGUCGCCUUCGAGGGUGGGGGGCAGGUGCUGCAUGGCUGUCGU